Molecule: long non-coding RNA, 1153 nt
Organism: Musa acuminata AAA Group (dessert banana)
Lineage: Eukaryota; Viridiplantae; Streptophyta; Magnoliopsida; Zingiberales; Musaceae
Exons: 3
Source: RefSeq, a predicted model, not a curated record
GCAAGCAACUAAUUAAUGAUGCAAGAGAAGAGGGUAGAGAAACUUGGGCUUUCCUUUUAAGCAAGCAAACAGUAGAUGAUCCUGCAAGUCAGCAGCUUUAUUUUUUUUAGAUGCUUAUUAUUAUUGUGUGGUCGAUGCCUUAAUUCGAAGCCAUAUAUGUUUCAGCGUUGCUGCAUAUCUCGAUGAUUUUUACGCGCUGCGGGAAUCAUCGUGGAUAUAUGGAUGGAUAAAGAGAGUCGUCAAUAAUGGCCUUUAGUUUAUAGGAUAACAUGGCCAUCCACCAACUCUAAUGACUACAUUCUUAAAGCGGCUCCAUGGAGAAAGUGCCGGCUCUCUACUUUUUCUGUUUUGAUCAUUUGGAGCUGAGAGUCCAGUGGGAUUCGAAUUGUCACGUAUAAAGAAUCGACUAUCUAAUCCUCCCCCACGACUUGUUGGCCAACCGAUUACAGAAGAAGGUGCAUCCUCCCUAUUCAAACCGAAAGGAAGCCUUUGCUUCUUCUCUAUAUGCUCCUGAAGGAGAAGGCCACCCGAGGAAAUAACUUGCGACAGGGAAGAUAAGAUCUUCAUCAUGGGCUUCAUGGGAACGAAGCAGCUCGCUGUCCUCUCUCUUGUCAUACUGGCUUCGCUUCCAUCAACUGCACUGGCAGGGCGGCAGAGAAGACUUUAUGGUAAAUAUGCAGCACCAGCGGGAGCGAUAACGAAGGAAUCAGCGAAGAUUAAUGAACCGCACCAGGAACAAGUCCUCAUCGUUCGUUCCAGGAUCCUCAAAAUCAAGACAAAUGAUUAUGGAAGCUAUGAUCCUUCUCCGUCUCUUUCCAAGCCUCCUUUCAAGCUCAUACCAAACUGACCGACGUCGCUUGGUCCCGAGAAACAAAUGGUUCGGUAAUCAAUCCAUCAGUAUAUGUAAUGCCAUAGGUAUAAGAACUUGGGGAUGUUUCUUGUUGAAGUAUAGGGUCCCUAGCUAGCUAGAGAUGUAUCGACUAGAGUUCUUGUCUUGAGACGCAGCUUAAUCUGUGCUCCUGCUUCUUCUUCCGCUCCCGUAUAUGUCCAUAUAUGUCAUCCGUCUCGAGGCAAACUGCACUAAAUGCUACAGUAUAUGCCGGUGAUCUAAAUAUUCCACAUGUAAUAAAACUUUUCGCCUGCCAUGCAUGAA